AUUGAACGCUGGCGGCAGGCCUAACGCAUGCAAGUCGAGCGGAUGAAGGGAGCUUGCUCCUGGAUUCAGCGGCGGACGGGUGAGUAAUGCCUAGGAAUCUGCCUGGUAGUGGGGGAUAACGUCCGGAAACGGGCGCUAAUACCGCAUACGUCCUGAGGGAGAAAGUGGGGGAUCUUCGGACCUCACGCUAUCAGAUGAGCCUAGGUCGGAUUAGCUAGUUGGUGGGGUAAAGGCCUACCAAGGCGACGAUCCGUAACUGGUCUGAGAGGAUGAUCAGUCACACUGGAACUGAGACACGGUCCAGACUCCUACGGGAGGCAGCAGUGGGGAAUAUUGGACAAUGGGCGAAAGCCUGAUCCAGCCAUGCCGCGUGUGUGAAGAAGGUCUUCGGAUUGUAAAGCACUUUAAGUUGGGAGGAAGGGCAGUAAGUUAAUACCUUGCUGUUUUGACGUUACCAACAGAAUAAGCACCGGCUGACUUCGUG
Molecule: ribosomal RNA, 484 nt
Filed under: uncultured bacterium
Lineage: Bacteria
Description: partial 16S ribosomal RNA
Rfam family: Bacterial small subunit ribosomal RNA
Source: RNAcentral